RNAcentral lists this unclassified non-coding RNA (391 nucleotides) under soil metagenome. Its description in RNAcentral is "partial contains 5.8S ribosomal RNA, internal transcribed spacer 2, and large subunit ribosomal RNA". The stretch from base 1 to 122 matches the Rfam family "5.8S ribosomal RNA", at positions 35 to 154 of the family's 154-position model. The record is from RNAcentral.
GAUGAAGAACGUAGCGAAAUGCGAUACUUGGUGUGAAUUGCAGAAUCCCGUGAACCAUCGAGUCUUUGAACGCAAGUUGCGCCCGAAGCCAUUAGGCCGAGGGCACGCCUGCCUGGGCGUCACACGUCGUUGCCCCCCCAUCUACUCCUUCGGGAUUGCGGGGGGUGGAUGAUGGCCUCCCGUGCGCCUCGUCGCGCGGUUGGCAUAAAUGCCAAGUCCUCGGCGACGCACGCCACGACAAUCGGUGGUUGCGAAACCUCGGUUGCCCGUCGUGUGCGGUCGUCGCGCAUCGAGGGCUCGAAAAAAUUGCCGCGCUCUGUUUCGGCUUUCAACGCGACCCCAGGUCAGGCGGGGUUACCCGCUGAAUUUAAGCAUAUCAAUAAGCGGAGGA